ACUGUUUUUUUCUUCUCCUGAGAUUGAGACCUCUCAUUGUUCGGAUUUGAAAAUGCAACUAUUGUAAUAGAACGGGCAGCGCUCGGGGCUGUGUGUGGCUGUGCGUGUGGGUGGCGGAGUGAGAAAGACACAGAGGAGCGCUAACCAGUAAAAGCACAGCCCCCUUCAUUGUCGACACACUGUGCCAACAAGAUCAAAGAGCCAUUCCAAAUGGAGGUCAAGAGGACUUUGAAACUUAGGUGCUAGCCAGACUAGUGAUUAACUGCAAUGGAAAAGUAAUUGUUUGUCUGCUUUACGACAGAUUGCUCAGGACUUCUCAAUUUUUAACCCGGCGAAACUAGCUGAGAACUGGAUUGCGGUCUUCGUGUACAAAAUACUUUGAGUCGCCAGCCGAGAGAAGCAGGCCCAAGAUCUUUUCUUCGAAGAGCAGGAAAGGUAACAUCGCCUUAAGACUUCUGUCAAUGGCAGGAAGACAUUCUUACCCGGCUUCGAAGAGACCAGAAAGUCCUUCAUCAACUUGUUGGGACCAACAUGGUUGAGUACCUGCACCAGGCAAAGGUGACCAGACCCUACCUAUUUGUGUUGGCUCUUGGGGACAAUUGUCUCUGCUCACAGGUGUUUACAAUCAUUAGCGGACAGGCAUUGGAGCAAGGUACACUUUUUGGUGCACUGGAUCAGUGCUUGAAGUUCUAUUAUGUGUUUGAUAUCAACUUUCCCAGACUGUGUGCCCCAGCAUGGGAAUUCCUACAUGCCACGGUGUAUCAGCUGCCAGGCUGUUGCGAGAAUUUUUUUUUCUUCCACUGAACAAGAAUGUAUAAGUACCUGCUCUUGUAUGUAGUGGGAGUGACAGGAUAAUUGUUUGUGUUCCUGUGAGUUUGUCACAUCCUGACCAUAGUUUGCUUUGUAUGUUUGUAUGUUUUGUUUGGUCAGGCUGUGAUCUGAGUGGGCAUUCUAUGUUGGAUGUCUAGUUUGUCUGUUUCUGUGUUUGGCCUGAUAUGGUUCUCAAUCAGAGGCAGGUGUUAGUCGUUGUCUCUGAUUGGGAACCAUAUUUAGGUAGCCUGUUUUGUCAUUGUGGGUUAUUGUCUAUGUCUAUGUUAGUUGCUUGUGUCAGCACAGUUCUUAUUAUAACUUCACGGUUGUUAGUCCUUUAUUGUUUUGUGUUCAGUGCUUUCUGUAAUUAAAAUAUCAUCAUGAACACAUACCACGCUGCAUUUUGGUCAUCGUGAUAGAACAAUGGCUGGAUGAGCCAUGAGCGUCUCAUAUUCCAAUGCUAAUAUGCUCUUAAGACUAUUUAUAGCUCUGUUAAAUUUACUUUUAGUUUGUUUUAAUGAAUUUGUGCCUGCUUUUUGCCUAGUCAAUGGUAUGUGCUUCUUUGCUUUUAGUUCAACUACUGUUGCACACAAAUCUCUAUAUAUUUGUAUGAAUAAUAUAUGACAUUCUUUCUAUAACAAUUUAUUUGAAAUACAAAUGUUACAUUUUGAGGAUUGUGAAUAGUGCUUUAUUUAUGAAAUACAGUUAUUACUUAAAUAUUGACAGUCAUUAGUCCACACAAUGUUUUCCACUUGUUCUCUAUGUAACAAUAUUUUGUGUCACAUCUGUCGUAAGGAGGAGACCAAGGCGCAGCGUGGUAAGCGUACAUUCUUAAUUUAUUAAACAAAUGAACACUGAAACAAAAUAACAAACAACCGAACGGUGAAACUAUAGACAUGAGUGCUAACAGGCAACUACAUAUAGACAAGAACCCACAAAAUACCCAAGGGAAUAUGGUCCCCAAUCAGAGACAACAAUAAACAGCUGCCUCUGAUUGGGAACCAAUUCCGGCCACCAUAGACAUACAAUAAACCUAGACUUACAAAAAAACCUAGAUAUACAAAACCCAUAGACAAGGUAAAACUAACAUACCCACCCUAGUCACUCCCUGACCUAACCAAAAUAAAGAAAACAAAGAUAACUAAGGUCAGGGCGUGACAAUUUUGACCAAAUGUUAUUUUAUGGCAAAACAGCAAGAUGUGUGUGCUGUCACCUAAGAUCGCUUAAGCAGUAUGUGUCAGUGAAUUUGAACAUAUAUUGACUAGCUCUGACACUGUAUGAUCGAUAGAUCUGUGUUAAUACCACUGAAGACAGACAGUGUCACACUCACCAAUGCUUUGUUUUUCUCAGAUUGCGAUCUGAGUGUGCACAGCAAUUUCAGCUGAGGCUUCAGUCAUGUUUGAACUGAUUGGUUCAUGAAAUAAUAUCAAUCAAUUUUAAUAAUCAAUCCUAGCUUUUGAAAUCUUAACUUAUGAAAUAACACAUAAUUAGGCAGUUGGGCUUUGUUUCGGUGUGCUAUUUAAAAAAUAUAUAUUCUUUGUUCAUUAUUGUGGACAAUUCUCUGACGUGCUGUGAUGUAUGUU
Molecule: long non-coding RNA, 2393 nt
Organism: Oncorhynchus mykiss (rainbow trout)
Lineage: Eukaryota; Metazoa; Chordata; Actinopteri; Salmoniformes; Salmonidae
Source: RefSeq, a predicted model, not a curated record